UACGGAGGAUGCGAGCGUUAUCCGGAUUUAUUGGGUUUAAAGGGUGCGUAGGCGGGAUGCCAAGUCAGCGGUAAAAUGCGGUGCUCAACGCCGUCGAGCCGUUGAAACUGGCGUUCUUGAGUGGGCGAGAAGUAUGCGGAAUGCGUGGUGUAGCGGUGAAAUGCAUAGAUAUCACGCAGAACUCCGAUUGCGAAGGCAGCAUACCGGCGCCCGACUGACGCUGAAGCACGAAAGCGUGGGUAUCGAACAGG
RNAcentral lists this ribosomal RNA (251 nucleotides) under uncultured bacterium. Its description in RNAcentral is "partial 16S ribosomal RNA". It matches the Rfam family "Bacterial small subunit ribosomal RNA", at positions 524 to 776 of the family's 1533-position model. The record is from RNAcentral.